Molecule: ribosomal RNA, 279 nt
Filed under: uncultured bacterium
Lineage: Bacteria
Description: partial 16S ribosomal RNA
Rfam family: Bacterial small subunit ribosomal RNA
Source: RNAcentral
UGCCAGCCGCCGCGGUAAUACGAAGGGUGCUAGCGUUGUUCGGAAUUACUGGGCGUAAAGAGCAUGUAGGCGGCAUGACAAGUCUGGUGUGAAAUAUCUCGGCUCAACCGAGAAAACGCACUGGAAACUGUCAAGCUUGAGUAUCGGAGGGGAAGCUAGAAUUCCUGGUGUAGGGGUGAAAUCUGUAGAUAUCAGGAAGAAUACCGGUGGCGAGGGCGAGCUUCUGGCCAGAUACUGACGCUGAGAUGCGAAAGCGUGGGGAGCGAACAGGAUUAGAUA